RNAcentral lists this microRNA precursor (72 nucleotides) under Medicago truncatula (barrel medic). RNAcentral's name for it is "MIR2629 microRNA precursor family". It matches the Rfam family "MIR2629 microRNA precursor family". Lineage: Eukaryota; Viridiplantae; Streptophyta; Magnoliopsida; Fabales; Fabaceae. The record is from Rfam by way of RNAcentral.
UUAUAACAUUUUCCUCGGCAGUUAACUGCAGCCGGAUUUCUAAAACUUCGGCAGUUAACUGCCGAGGGGUAU